Molecule: ribosomal RNA, 468 nt
Filed under: uncultured bacterium
Lineage: Bacteria
Description: partial 16S ribosomal RNA
Rfam family: Bacterial small subunit ribosomal RNA
Source: RNAcentral
GACGAACGCUGGCGGCGUGCUUAACACAUGCAAGUCGAACGGAAAGGCCCUGCUUUUGUGGGGUGCUCGAGUGGCGAACGGGUGAGUAACACGUGAGUAACCUGCCCUUGACUUUGGGAUAACUUCAGGAAACUGGGGCUAAUACCGGAUAGGAGCUCCUGCUGCAUUGUGGGGGGUGGAAAUUUUCGGCGGUUGGGGAUGGACUCGCGGCUUAUCAGCUUGUUGGUGGGGUAGUGGCUUACCAAGGCUUUGACGGGUAGCCGGCCUGAGAGGGUGACCGGCCACAUUGGGACUGAGAUACGGCCCAGACUCCUACGGGAGGCAGCAGUGGGGAAUAUUGCACAAUGGGCGGAAGCCUGAUGCAGCAACGCCGCGUGCGGGAUGACGGCCUUCGGGUUGUAAACCGCUUUCGCCUGUGACGAAGCGUGAGUGACGGUAAUGGGUAAAGAAGCACCGGCUAACUACGUG